ACGGAGAUCAGCGGCGGACGGGUGAGUAACACGUGGGCAACCUGCCUGUAAGACUGGGAUAACUCCGGGAAACCGGGGCUAAUACCGGAUAACCCUUCGGACCUCAUGGUCCGGAGCUGAAAGACGGUUAUGCUGUCACUUACAGAUGGGCCCGCGGCGCAUUAGCUAGUUGGUGAGGUAACGGCUCACCAAGGCAACGAUGCGUAGCCGACCUGAGAGGGUGAUCGGCCACACUGGGACUGAGACACGGCCCAGACUCCUACGGGAGGCAGCAGUAGGGAAUCUUCCGCAAUGGACGAAAGUCUGACGGAGCAACGCCGCGUGAGUGAAGAAGGUUUUCGGAUCGUAAAACUCUGUUGUUAGGGAAGAACAAGUACGAGAGUAACUGCUCGUACCUUGACGGUACCUAACCAGAAAGCCACGGCUAACUACGUGCCAGCAGCCGCGGUAAUACGUAGGUGGCAAGCGUUGUCCGGAAUUAUUGGGCGUAAAGCGCGCGCAGGCGGUCUUUUAAGUCUGAUGUGAAAGCCCCCGGCUCAACCGGGGAGGGUCAUUGGAAACUGGAGGACUUGAGUGCAGAAGAGGAGAGCGGAAUUCCACGUGUAGCGGUGAAAUGCGUAGAGAUGUGGAGGAACACCAGUGGCGAAGGCGGCUCUCUGGUCUGUAACUGACGCUGAGGCGCGAAAGCGUGGGGAGCGAACAGGAUUAGAUACCCUGGUAGUCCACGCCGUAAACGAUGAGUGCUAAGUGUUAGAG
RNAcentral lists this ribosomal RNA (756 nucleotides) under Bacillus sp. (in: firmicutes). Its description in RNAcentral is "bacterial SSU rRNA". It matches the Rfam family "Bacterial small subunit ribosomal RNA", at positions 85 to 828 of the family's 1533-position model. The record is from RNAcentral. Lineage: Bacteria; Bacillati; Bacillota; Bacilli; Caryophanales; Bacillaceae.